GAGGAGCCCAGGACCCUCGCGGAGGUUGCUUUCUUCUGAGAAGGUCUCUGAGAAGGACCAUUCCCUCCCCAAACCCUGCUGGAGCAAGGACAUGAGCCUCCUCUUUGACCAGUUCAUGAAGAAAUGUGAAGAUGGCUCCUGGCUUCAUUUGCCUUCAUAUGAGGCUAUAGCAACUCAACGGAGUCAAGACUUCUCAACCUUUAUUCACGACCUAUCCCCCUUUGUGCUAUUGUUUUGAUAAAUAGCCAACUUGAUAAAAUUGACGGAAGGAAACUGCUUGUGUCCUGUAAUGUUCAGAGCGUUGAUGAGAAGAUCCUAUACACAGAGGCCACAAGCUUAUUUGUAAAGCUGAAUCCUGAAAAAGGGUUUCACAUAAAAGAGCUUGUGUUGUAUUCUGCUCCACCUGCUUAAGGCUCUCUGUCCUUCACAAGAGGCUGUGUUCCCCAGUCCUGCUCUGCUCGCCCACUGUGAGCCCCUAUACGGUGAAGCCUGCUGACACUGCCUUUAUGAACAGUCUUCUGAAUGCAACUCCAGGAGCUCCGUUUCCACCUUCUACAUUUCCUAACACAGAAGCACUUCCUAUGAGAGUAUCAGCAAUGUUAGAAUUGCUGUGAUGUCUGUAAACUUGAAAAUUCCAGAAAACCAAAUGAAGGAGCAAAUAUGUGCAUGCAUAUUUGCAUGUGUGUCUAAUGUGUGCAUGCAUGCAUUCAUGAUUUGUAAAUUCCAAAGCUCAUUUUGUUGUAUCUAAAAUCUUUUUGAGCCUGGCCGGCGUGGUUGAGUGUCGAACUAUGAACCAGGAGUCAUAGUUCGAAUCCCGAUCAGGGCACAUGUCUGGGUUGCAGGUUUGAUCCCCAGUGUGGGGCGUUCAGGAGGCAGUCGAUCAAUGAUUCUCUCUCAUCACUGAUGUUUCUAUUUCCCUCUCCCUUCCUCUUCGAAAUCAAUAAAAAUAUAUUUUAAAAAAAUAAAAUAAAAUAAAA
Long non-coding RNA from Myotis daubentonii (Daubenton's bat), 977 nucleotides. RefSeq lists it as uncharacterized. The record is from RefSeq and is a predicted model, not a curated record. The transcript has 2 exons. Lineage: Eukaryota; Metazoa; Chordata; Mammalia; Chiroptera; Vespertilionidae.